Molecule: ribosomal RNA, 483 nt
Filed under: uncultured bacterium
Lineage: Bacteria
Description: partial 16S ribosomal RNA
Rfam family: Bacterial small subunit ribosomal RNA
Source: RNAcentral
GACGAACGCUGGCGGCGUGCCUAACACAUGCAAGUCGAACGAGGUCCAAGGAAGCUUGCUUCCUGACGACCUAGUGGCGAACGGGUGAGUAACACGUGAGAAACCUGCCUCGGAGUGGGGAAUAACUCGGGGAAACUCGAGCUAAUACCGCAUGUCUUCACAUGAUCGCAUGGUCGAGUGAAGAAAGAAUUUCGCUCUGAGAGGGUCUCGCGGCCUAUCAGCUUGUUGGUGGGGUAACGGCCCACCAAGGCAACGACGGGUAGCUGGUUUGAGAGAACGAUCAGCCACACUGGGACUGAGACACGGCCCAGACUCCUACGGGAGGCAGCAGUGGGGAAUCUUGCGCAAUGGGCGAAAGCCUGACGCAGCAACGCCGCGUGCGGGAUGACGGCCUUCGUGGUUGUAAACCGCUUUCAGCAGGGACGAAAAUGACGGUACCUGCAGAAGAAGCCCCGGCUAACUACGUGCCAGCCGCCGCAGUAA